This 449-nucleotide ribosomal RNA is filed under the name uncultured bacterium. RNAcentral's name for it is "partial 16S ribosomal RNA". It matches the Rfam family "Bacterial small subunit ribosomal RNA", at positions 29 to 523 of the family's 1533-position model. The record is from RNAcentral.
AACGAACGCUGGCGGCAUGCCUAACACAUGCAAGUCGAACGAGAUCUUCGGGUCUAGUGGCGCACGGGUGCGUAACGCGUGGGAAUCUGCCCUUUGGUUCGGAAUAACGGUUGGAAACGACUGCUAAUACCGGAUGAUGACGAAAGUCCAAAGAUUUAUCGCCAGAGGAUGAGCCCGCGUAGGAUUAGCUAGUUGGUGUGGUAAAGGCGCACCAAGGCGACGAUCCUUAGCUGGUCUGAGAGGAUGAUCAGCCACACUGGGACUGAGACACGGCCCAGACUCCUACGGGAGGCAGCAGUGGGGAAUAGUGGACAAUGGGCAAAAGCCUGAUCCAGCAAUGCCGCGUGAGUGAUGAAGGCCUUAGGGUUGUAAAGCUCUUUUACCCGGGAUGAUAAUGACAGUACCGGGAGAAUAAGCUCCGGCUAACUCCGUGCCAGCCGCCGCCGUAA